This is a small nucleolar RNA of Rhododendron vialii, 98 nucleotides long. RefSeq annotates it as small nucleolar RNA R64/Z200 family. The transcript has a single exon. The record is from RefSeq and is a predicted model, not a curated record. Lineage: Eukaryota; Viridiplantae; Streptophyta; Magnoliopsida; Ericales; Ericaceae.
UUCUUGCUGUGACGAAUCAUGGAACAAUUCACAUGUCAGACUUCAGAGAUUUUGUAUUAAAUCUAUGAGAAGGAAAUUUCUUGUUUCCUGAGCAGAAG